CAAUAGCGUAUAUUAAAGCUGUUGCAGUUAAAAGCUCGUAGUUGGAUCUCGGGUCCAGACUAGCGGUUCACCUCGCGGUGAUUACUGCCCGUUCUGACCUACCUACCGGUUGUCCCUUGGUGCUCUUGACUGAGUGUCUCGGGUGGCCGGAACGUUUACUUUGAAAAAUUAGAGUGUUCAAAGCAGGCAGUACGCCUGAAUAAUGGUGCAUGGAAUAAUGGAAUAGGACCUCGGUUCUAUUUUGUUGGUUUUUCGGAACUUGAGUAUAUGAAUAAAGGGACGGACACGGGGGACCGGGGGACUUACGUUUACGUUUAACGGUUUACGGGUUUAGGUUAAGGGUAGGGUAAAGUUAAACUUUUCGGUUAGGUACGUCCCGGUAACCGGUAAACGGAAACCGUAAACCUUACGUCGGAAACGGAAACGACUUUAGUUUCCGAACCGAACGACUAGUUUUUCCGUUUUUUAACCUUUAACUAACGAAAACGG
This 489-nucleotide ribosomal RNA is filed under the name uncultured eukaryote. RNAcentral describes it as "bacterial SSU rRNA". It matches the Rfam family "Eukaryotic small subunit ribosomal RNA", at positions 592 to 996 of the family's 1831-position model. The record is from RNAcentral.